GCUUUGGUCCCUAGAUGUGUAUCCAGACGGCGUGUCUGCAUAGGACGUCUCCACAAAGCGCACACGCUCCGGCGACCACAGCAGGUCGCUCCGUAGAGAAAGAACAGGAACUUUGAGGAGGAAGCAGCAGACAGUGUGUGCUCAAUGGCCCAGUCGUGUCCAACUCUUUGCGACCCCAGGAACUGUAGCCCACAAGGCUCCUCUGUCCAUGAGAUUUUCCAGGGAAGCUGUUGGCAAUUACAAGCCUUUCCUUGACAAGGUCCUUUUGACACAGCAUGCUGUUGGCAGUCGCCGCCAGGAGGGUUCAGCUGUUUUAGGAACAAGGUGACAGUCAAUUGCUUCGAUUUCCACUGGCUACCACUUUUGUUGUUAAAACUUUCCCAGGACUUUUGGGGGCGGUUAUUUCUUCUUGUUCCAUCACGACAAUUUCUUUUCUCACCAUGGGAGCUGUCGUGUAUAAUUAAGCUGUGUGCUCCAAAAUAAAGUCAGAAGCGGUGACUACAUUACCAUUCGCUGAAUGCCACCAACUCUGUCCCUACGGAAUGCAGAGAAACUUUGUGCAGUGACUUUCAUUUUUUUGCCCUCUUUUAACAAGAACUCAGUUCAUACACUCGUGAAACAUUUCACUUUAGAAACUAGAAGACAGGUUUGAACCACCCUGUCUGUAUCUUGAAAUCCAAGUUUUUCCAACUUAGCACCAUUACCACUUUAAGUUGGACAACUCUUUGUAGUAGAGGGUGUCCUGUGCAUUAUAAGCUGUUCACCAGCAUCCUUAACUCCACCCGCUAGACGCCAAGACACCCAGCUCCCAAGUAGUGACGUUCAAAAAUGUCUCCAGUUAUGUCCAGAUGUCCCCUGGGGGACAAAACUGUCUCCAGUUGAGAAUCAUUGCUCUAAAUGAUCAAGUAUUAAUAUGGCUGUGUUCAGUUUGAUAGAAUAUGUUUCUUUUUUGACACUUUAUUUUCUAAUUUAUUUUUAAUUGGAGGAUAAUUGCUUUACAAUGUCGUGUUGGUUUCUGCCAUACAACAGCAUGAG
Molecule: long non-coding RNA, 1035 nt
Organism: Bubalus bubalis (water buffalo)
Lineage: Eukaryota; Metazoa; Chordata; Mammalia; Artiodactyla; Bovidae
Exons: 3
Source: RefSeq, a predicted model, not a curated record